RNAcentral lists this ribosomal RNA (546 nucleotides) under Amanita pallidorosea. RNAcentral describes it as "eukaryotic LSU rRNA". The stretch from base 151 to 302 matches the Rfam family "5.8S ribosomal RNA". The record is from RNAcentral. Lineage: Eukaryota; Fungi; Basidiomycota; Agaricomycetes; Agaricales; Amanitaceae.
UUCCAAUUCCACCUGUGCACACUUGUGACACUUGGGAAUGAGAGACUUUGACCAGUCUCUUGAGAGAAUUGAAAUCUGGGUGUCUAUGCCAUUUUACCAAACACUAGUUGCAUGUUUAUAGAAUGAUUAUUUGAUUGAAUAUAUAAAUACAACUUUCAACAACGGAUCUCUUGGCUCUCGCAUCGAUGAAGAACGCAGCGAAAUGCGAUAAGUAAUGUGAAUUGCAGAAUUAGUGAAUCAUCGAAUCUUUGAACGCACCUUGCGCUCUUGGCAUUCCGAGGAGCAUGCCUGUUUGAGUGUCAUUAACACCUCAAGACCUGUCUGCUUUUGAUAGGUAUUGGAUUUUGGGAGUUGCAGGCUGUUUCAGAUAUAGCUUGCUCUCCUUGAAUGUAUUAGUGGAGAAAAGCUGUUGAACUCCAUUGGUGUGAUAAAAUCUAUCAAUGCCAGGAGCAACAUCAAGUGGUCUCUGCUGUCUACCCUACUGUCUGACUACUUGACCUCAAAUCAGGUAGGACUCCCGCUGAACUUAGCAUAUCAAUAGCGGAG